GGAAGGAUCAUUAACACAAUAUCCAAAAACCUUGUGUGAACUGUAAUGUUUUUUACGUUUACUCGAACUAACAAGUCCUACUUGUAGGACAAAAACUAAUCAAAACAACUGCUAGCAACGGAUGUCUUGGUUCUCGCAACGAUGAAGAACGCAGCAAAUUGCGAUAAGUAAUGUGAAUCGUAAGAUUCAGUGAAUCAUCAAAUCUUUGAACGCAAACGGCGCCCUCUGGUAUUCCGGGGGGCAUACCUGUUUGAGCAUCAAUAUUCAUUUCAUAUCCUUUUGGGUGUGGUGAAUGAGCGUCAUGCGUUGCAUGUUGCUUGAAAUGCAUAGCGGAGACUACCAACCAAUGGUGAGGACCUAGUCCAGCUAUUGGAUCUGAUAGCGCUCUUAGACAUCAACCUUGAUCUCAAAUCAGGUAAGAUUACCCGCUGAAUUGAAGCAUCUAAUUAAGCGGAGGAAAAGAAACUAACAAGGAUUCCCUUAGUAAUGGCGAAUGAACAGGGAAGAGCUCAAACUUAAAAUCUGGGAGGUCUCCUCCCCGAAUUGUAGUCUAGAGAAGCGUUACCGGAGGCUGUCUUACGUCCAAGUCCUUUGGAAAGGGGCAUCAGAGAGGGUGACAAUCCCGUAUCUGGCGUGAGAACGGUUUCCAUACGGAGCGCUCUCCACGAGUCGAGUUGUUUGGGAAUGCAGCUCCAAAUGGGUGGUAAAUUCCAUCUAAAGCUAAAUACCGGCGAGAGACCGAUAGCGAACAAGUACCGUGAGGGAAAGAUGAAAAGAACUUUGAAAAGAGAGUGAAAAGUGCCUGAAAUUGCUAGCAUGGAAUCGAUUGAAACUGGUGAUCUGCGGGAGAGACUGGCUGUGACUUCCGUUCUGCGGAUUUGCAGCUCACCUCUCUUCUGUAGAAGUCAACUCCCGUUACCGGUCCAGUGAUCGCCUGUGGGGAAGGUAGGUAGGGCCGCAAGGCUUUGCUGUUAUAGCUCCAUGGGUGUGCUGGGAAGGAGACGAGGUUGUCGGUGCUGUAUCGUUGCUUUGUGCUGGGGUAUGCAUUGCGUGGGACUGCUUGCAGUGUCAUGUAGUGUGUGCUUCACCGCUGGGUAAAGAUGCGGUGCUGCUGUUGACGUAACGGUUUUAACCGUCCCGUCUUGAAACACGGACCAAGGAGUCUAACAUAUAUGCGAGUAUUGUGGUGGCAAACCAACAAUGCGCAAUGAAAGUAAAGGCCGCAAGGCUGAGGUGUGAGCCCGCAAGGGUGCAACAUCGACCGAUCUGGAGGUUUUCUGAAAGAUUUGAGUAAGAGCAUAUACGUUGGGACCCGAAAGAUGGUGAACUAUGCCUGAAUAGGACGAAGCCAGAGGAAACUCUGGUGGAGGUCCGAAGCGGUUUUGACGUGCAAAUCAAUCGUCAGAUUUGGGUAUAGGGGCGAAAGACUAAUCGAACCAUCUAGUAGCUGGUUCCCUC
This 1458-nucleotide unclassified non-coding RNA is filed under the name uncultured fungus. Its description in RNAcentral is "sequence contains 18S rRNA gene, ITS1, 5.8S rRNA gene, ITS2, 28S rRNA gene". The stretch from base 402 to 1458 matches the Rfam family "Eukaryotic large subunit ribosomal RNA", at positions 1 to 961 of the family's 3401-position model. Lineage: Eukaryota; Fungi. The record is from RNAcentral.